CUCAAGUUCAGGAAAAGUUUCAAGUGAUUCACAGCAAGUAAGGUCUAACUUGAUGAGUUUGCUGAGAUUUCCAAUGGAAGAUGGAAUAGUCUUAAGCUUUGUGCAACUUCGUAAGCUUAAUUCUUCGAGUCCGACCAAAUGGUGCAAGGAUGAAGGCAAUUCUUUUAUUGCUGUUUUGUCUAGGAUUAGCACUUCUAGAUUUUCCAUAGUCAUCGCGAGUUCAGGAAAAGUUUCAAGUGAUUCACAAUUAGUAAGGUCUAACUUGAUGAGUUUGCUGAGGUUUCCAAUGGAAGAUGGAAUGGUCUUAAGCUUUGUGCAACUUCGCAAGCUCAGUUCUUAAGCCCGGUCAAAUGGUGCAAGGAUGAAGGUAGGAGUUCUUUUAUUGCUGUUUCGUCUAAGAUAAGCACUGAUAGAUUUUCCCUUGUCUAUUUGAUUUCAGGUAACUCCUCCAAUUUUAAACAACCACGGAAACUAAGUCUUCUUAGAAGCUUUAAAUUUAAAAGUUCUGCUGGCAUG
This 516-nucleotide long non-coding RNA is filed under the name Medicago truncatula (barrel medic). Its description in RNAcentral is "long non-coding RNA (MTRU_LNC006585)". Lineage: Eukaryota; Viridiplantae; Streptophyta; Magnoliopsida; Fabales; Fabaceae. The record is from RNAcentral.